CCUACGGGUGGCAGCAGUGAGGAAUAUUGGUCAAUGGGCGAGAGCCUGAUCCAGCCAAGUCGCGUGAAGGAUGACGGCCCUACGGGUUGUAAACUUCUUUUGUCAGGGAGCAAUUGGGUCCACGCGUGGGCUUAGCGAGAGUACCUGAAGAAAAAGCAUCGGCUAACUCCGUGCCAGCAGCCGCGGUAAUACGGGGGAUGCGAGCGUUAUCCGGAUUUAUUGGGUUUAAAGGGUGCGUAGGCGGAAUAUCAAGUCAGCGGUAAAAAUUCGGGGCUCAACCCCGUCGUGCCGUUGAAACUGAUGUUCUGGAGUGGGCGAGAGGUAUGCGGAAUGCGUGGUGUAGCGGUGAAAUGCAUAGAUAUCGCGCAGAACUCCGAUUGCGAAGGCAGCAUACCGGCGCCCAACUGACGCUGAAGCACGAAGGCGUGGGUAGCGAACAGGAUUAGAUACCCGUGUAGUC
This 460-nucleotide ribosomal RNA is filed under the name uncultured bacterium. Its description in RNAcentral is "partial 16S ribosomal RNA". It matches the Rfam family "Bacterial small subunit ribosomal RNA", at positions 338 to 795 of the family's 1533-position model. The record is from RNAcentral.